This is a non-coding RNA of Phascolarctos cinereus (koala), 284 nucleotides long. The record is from RefSeq and is a predicted model, not a curated record. Lineage: Eukaryota; Metazoa; Chordata; Mammalia; Diprotodontia; Phascolarctidae.
GGAAUUUGAAACAAGGAAACCUGUCAUGACCUGGUCCUCAUGUAUCUGCCAUUUAGAGGUGAAGGCAGAAUGCAGUCCUGACUUCCUCACAUCUGGGUGCAGCAAUGAUUCUCCAAGGAACAAGAAGCAACCUUUGGUAGUUACCUCCAGGACUUAUCCAGCAGUAAUGCCAUAUUUGGACAUAAACUCAGUGGGACCAAUGUUAUGUAGGAAUGUUUCUCUUUUGGAUCCCUAGGCAGCAAGGGACCUGGGGAGAAGAUUUCUCCUUUCCCUCCAUAGUCAAG